This 478-nucleotide ribosomal RNA is filed under the name uncultured bacterium. RNAcentral describes it as "partial 16S ribosomal RNA". It matches the Rfam family "Bacterial small subunit ribosomal RNA", at positions 28 to 523 of the family's 1533-position model. The record is from RNAcentral.
GACGAACGCUGGCGGCGUGCUUAACACAUGCAAGUCGAGCGAUGAAGUUCCUUCGGGAAUGGAUUAGCGGCGGACGGGUGAGUAACACGUGGGUAACCUGCCUCAUAGAGGGGAAUAGCCUUCCGAAAGGAAGAUUAAUACCGCAUAAGAUUGUAGUACCGCAUGGUAUAGCAAUUAAAGGAGCAAUCCGCUAUGAGAUGGACCCGCGUCGCAUUAGCUAGUUGGUGAGGUAACGGCUCACCAAGGCGACGAUGCGUAGCCGACCUGAGAGGGUGAUCGGCCACAUUGGGACUGAGACACGGCCCAGACUCCUACGGGAGGCAGCAGUGGGGAAUAUUGCACAAUGGGGGAAACCCUGAUGCAGCAACGCCGCGUGAGUGAUGACGGUCUUCGGAUUGUAAAACUCUGUCUUCAGGGACGAUAAUGACGGUACCUGAGGAGGAAGCCACGGCUAACUACGUGCCAGCAGCCGCCGCGG